This 459-nucleotide ribosomal RNA is filed under the name uncultured bacterium. RNAcentral describes it as "partial 16S ribosomal RNA". It matches the Rfam family "Bacterial small subunit ribosomal RNA", at positions 339 to 795 of the family's 1533-position model. The record is from RNAcentral.
CUACGGGCCGCUCCAGUGAGGAAUAUUGGUCAAUGGGCGAAAGCCUGAACCAGCCAUGUCGCGUGCAGGAAGACGGCCCUAUGGGUUGUAAACUGCUUUUCUAUAGGAAGAACUAUAUCUACGUGUAGGUAUUUGCCUGUACUAUAGGAAUAAGCAUCGGCUAACUCCGUGCCAGCAGCCGCGGUAAUACGGAGGAUGCGAGCGUUAUCCGGAUUCAUUGGGUUUAAAGGGUGCGUAGGCGGCCUUUUAAGUCAGUGGUGAAAUUUUGUAGCUCAACUACAAACGUGCCAUUGAAACUGAAGGGCUUGAGUGCGGACGAGGAAGGCGGAAUGUGUUAUGUAGCGGUGAAAUGCAUAGAUAUAACACAGAACACCGAUUGCGAAGGCAGCUUUCCAGACCGUAACUGACGCUGAUGCACGAAAGCGUGGGUAGCGAACAGGAUUAGAUACCCGCGUAGUC